Molecule: long non-coding RNA, 1321 nt
Filed under: Dromaius novaehollandiae (emu)
Lineage: Eukaryota; Metazoa; Chordata; Aves; Casuariiformes; Dromaiidae
Description: lncRNA (ENSDNVG00000012699.1)
Source: RNAcentral
UCAGCAAAUGGCAUGUAUGUUGGAAUGAGAUACAAACACAACAAUUAUGCCUAUAUAUAAUGCAGGGCUGUAUGGGUGUGUAUAUAUGCCUUAUUAUAAAAAAGGUGAACUUUUUGUUAACCAUUAUUUUUUUCCAUCUUUGUAUCCAGAUUUCACUUAGCGGAAAAAUGAGAGGACUUAGUGCUCUUACUGUCAUUUCAGAAAAACAUCGAUGUUGGGAGAACGGUGACUGAGGAAUGUGAGUUGAAAAAAACUCCUCUGUUUACCCAGGGAGCAGGGACGUAAACACCAACUGCUUUUGUUUCUCUGUGCAAGUCCAUCUGAUUCACUAAAAUUUGUGUACUUAUUUUACAGGACUGCACUUGACCCCUCCCUCGUAUCUGAGGUGAAGCCAUUCACCACCACUAUCUCACUUUCAUCUCUAGCAUCAUUUUUCAUCCUGUCUUGUUAUUAAUAGCAUUCUUGGCUGGCCUUCUGAAUUAGUCUUCGCUGUGAUACUAUCAAAAGUUUUCUCCGUUUUUCUUCGUGCAAUUGUGUCUGUGAUUUAGCUGUUCAUUUGUGCUGCUAUUGUAAGGAGAAAAAGUGAAUUGAGGGUCCUGAUUCUGCAUCUAGGGCACACAAGCAGGGCCCUGAGCUUCCAUGUAGCUGCUUUGAAGACAAACAAGAAAAGACAGUGAACGUCCAAAAAAGCUCACAGGAACCGCUAUAACUAAGUGAGAAGACGCUCUUACUUUGUGUGGCCAAACUUCAGAGAAUUCUUAAGGAAUGAUGCAACCAAGCACCGGCAGGCACCUUCUCAGCUGGCGAGUGCCGAGAGGGCCAGCGAGGAACGGCCCCGAAUGGGAGCUGGAASUGAAGGGCGCCAAGUUACUCCCACCGCUUCACAGGGUGGCCAGACCCUACGGGGGUCCAAAGAGAUGCAGCGAAAGCUCUGUGUUUGGUCGCCUUCUACCACAUAGCUUCCUCUCCGCCUUCUUGACGUUCAUUCAGCUUACUGGGGCCCAGACGUGUCCAUACUACCAUCCAUGUGCAGCGUUUUCCAGCUGUUCUAUUUUUGUUGUGGUGGUUUCAUUUCCCUGAGCUCAAUGCUCUUCUGCCUUUUGAGGGUUAACUCAGACACCAUGCAGACAUUUACUGAUGAUGGACUCCCCCCACCCCGCCUCCACUAGAAGCCUUUGAACUCCACUCAUGUCUGCAAUCCUCCUUCCAUUACAGAGUAAUGUCAAGAUCUCUGCAAAGACUGUGGCCUGUUUAAUGUCUGAUUUGUCACCUAGUUAAAUCCUACUGUUUGACAUUUAGAAUUAUCUCUAAUAGCUUUACC